Molecule: long non-coding RNA, 380 nt
Organism: Cornus florida
Lineage: Eukaryota; Viridiplantae; Streptophyta; Magnoliopsida; Cornales; Cornaceae
Exons: 2
Source: RefSeq, a predicted model, not a curated record
UGAAGGAAAAUCCCAAGAAAACAGAGAUUAUGAGAUCAGAGGAAGCAAAGUGAGCAAAGUAUUCAAUGCAUUUGGUGCAAUUUCAGCUAUCAUAGUUUGCAACACCUCUGGUAUACUAUUGGAGAUACAGUCAACUCUUCGCAGUCCUGCAACUGUGAACAUGAGGAAUGCAUUAUAUGUACAAUACACAGUGGGCCUUGCAGUUUAUUAUGGUGUGAGUGUAGCAGGAUAUUGGGCCUAUGGUUCAACGGUAUCUGAUUACCUGCCCAAAGAGUUAGGUGGGCCCAAAUGGAUCAAAGUCCUCAUUAACUUAGCAGUCUUGGUCCAAUCUAUAAUCUCUCAACAUGUAAGUUUUCUUUUUUUUUUUUUUUUUGGGUAAU